Molecule: long non-coding RNA, 4943 nt
Organism: Brassica rapa (field mustard)
Lineage: Eukaryota; Viridiplantae; Streptophyta; Magnoliopsida; Brassicales; Brassicaceae
Source: RefSeq, a predicted model, not a curated record
AGAGAAAAGUUUAGAGAGAAAGAGAGAAAGAAGAGAGAAAAAUCUGUUAGAAAAAUUGGUUGAAAAAUUUAGAAAAAAAUCAGGGAAGAGAAGUGAGCUUGGACGACCCUUUCUCACCAUCUUGUGACUUUAAUCAGUGAGUAUUUGUGUGGUACUGAAGUUGAGAAUCACCCAUGUUCUUCAGCCUUUGAUUUUAAUCGGUAAAGAUGUAAGUUGUUGUGUGGAUCAGUUUUAUGUGAGCAUUUCCGUUGGAUUGAUUGCAAUUCUGCUUUGUUCUGAUUGAGUCCGACCUUUUCUUGAUGUGGUACUGAUCAGGUUUGGCGUAGCUUCAUCUUAAGGUGGAGUAUCAGUUGAGUUCAGACAGUGUUUGAUUUGAACCGGUAAACUGUUUUGCCUUUUGAUCCAGAUCAGUUUAGAUUGUAACCAGCUGGAUGAGUUGUUGUUCUUCCUCUCUGGAUAAAUUUCUUAAUACCUUGUGUGGAUUUAUAUUAGUUCAGUUCAUGGUCUCCUAGCAUCUAGAUAACUUAACUGAAACGAUUUAUGUUUGAACCGAACGGAAGCUGCCUUGAACUUGCCUUUGUAGCUGUCCUGAAUCUUGAAAUGUGGGGCUGAACCGGACUGAUUAACCCUUUUUCCAACCGUUCUGUUAUUGGUACAGAUGGUCAAGGAUAGUGUUCGGAUCAGCCGGAUCCUUGUGGUGGUUUUAACUCGAGAAUAUUCCAGAAGUCGAGUGUGAUUACCUUGAGCUAGAGUAUAGUCUUCCUUAGCCAAUCACAUGGAUUUAAAGGUGAGUCUAGAUAGAUGAUUAAGGAUUUAUAAAUUAGUGUUGCAUGAUUGAAAAUGUAGAUGAUUGAUAGGCUUUGUCUCUUGAUCAAAUAUUGAAUUGGUGUGGUGUUUACUUAGUGUAAACAAUUAAUAAAUAUUUAUGAAUGCUCAUAGAGGUUUAUUCCAAACCUUAGUACUUGUUCUCAAGUACUAAUACAUUGUAUAAUAUUAAAUAUAUAAGUAUAAAUCAUGUGAUGUCUUAUUGUAUACUCACUCUCCCGAAAGUUCCCGCAUUACCAUGAAUUGUUCCUGCGAUACAGAACAAGGUUACGAAGACACAAUGAUGGGGUCGCACCCUGGAGGCCGUGUAACUGCAUGCAGCGUUUGAUGUUUGAUCUUGGAAUAUCUAAUAGAGUUGAUGGUUAUAUUUAUUUCCCCGCUAGGCUCUGUAAGCCUAUGUGGUUUUCCGGGUUUAGUAUAUAUAUAUUAUAAGUAUGAGUUAGGGUGACGGGACUAGGCUAACUGAGUAAACUAGUUACUCAUGACUCAUUUGUGAAGCAGGUAACCAAUGGGCGGGAGUCCUUACUCUAGGACAGGAAGGAACAUCAUUAACCAGCGGUAGUUUUAUUAUCCUUGCAAAGGCGUUUUGAUAUUUCUUAUUUAUAAGAUUUUUUGACCGAAAACCUCGAGGUUAAUUUAUAACAAAUUUUGUAUGAUGCUUUUGAUUGAUAUAUAAAGAAUGUUUUUUGAAGUACAGGUUUCAUAUGAUAUUAGUCCUUGUCCGAACAAACUAACUAUCAGAUAUUGUUUGUUGGGUUGAAAAGCCUAGAGUUAUAUCCGAUAGGAGCGUUGGUGUUCUUUGGUUGUUCGUCUAAGGUAAUCGGAAGUAUUCUGAGAACCUCAGAUCGACCAUCGAGGAACAUCGACCGUGUCAUUUCCGGUCAUCUACGAUCAGGGGUGUCACAAAGGUGGUAUCAGAGCAUGGUUAUAAAAUGCCAGAAUUGGACUUGUUUCAAAUGUUAUUUGAGUCAAAAUGAGUCGCAAGGAUAACUAGGAUAUGCUGGCUGGUUCCUUCAUUUUAGGAUAGAUAGUCGUGGGUAGUUACCUAACAGUGAUUUUUCAUAGCAGAAGCACCGAGACAAGCUUGAACGGGUGGACCGUACUUACCGAUGUUACAAUCAUCAGGCUCCAGUUUGCUACCCUCAUGGUGGGGUUCACUGCCGUCCUGUUAGGAAUCAGUAACCUCAUGCCUUCCUGCCGUUCUUUUGAGUUCUGGUGGGGGAUGCCAAUUCCUUAGAGAGAUAUAUGGGAUAAAGUUGAUACAUUGAAUACAUCUCUGGACUCGUGUGUUAUCGAGUCAAGGUGGGUGAUGUUUGUGAUCCGGUUCAGAGCGAUUCGACAACACUUGAUCACAUAGAUGCACUUAUUAUUCCAGUUUCUCAAGUGUAACCAACUCAUGCUAAGAUGUAUAAGCACCAGAGCCAUACAAACAUGAUUUCUUCAGCAUUUGUUUCAAGCUUAGCAUUAGAGAAAGAGAUGGUUUGAUUGUAUUAUACGAUAAUGGAAGCCCCAAAAGCAUUCUGUUUAUAACAAAAUAUCAUGAAGCAUACGAUGCAAAGAAGAAGAAGUUGGGGCCACAAGAUACUUAAGAAGGACUAAACCGUUUGAGGUAUACUUUGGCUUGAGGUAGAUUUGGGGUGCAACACUCAGAGCAUAAUAUUGACGUGGCUGUUGUUCAGAAAAUUACAAGAAGGAUUUGCAGCUAGCUAUUUGAAGAUGAAUGCGAGGAGUUGUUGGUCGAGAGUCAAGAAUUACAUCAGAGAGUUGAGAUCGAGUUGGACAGAUUUCAAGAGUUCAAGAAGUAGUAUUUUCUACACAAGGUGGUUCAGGUCGAGUUAAUCAUAUACAACAAUUUCAGCAUUGAGAUACGUGGUCGAGUGAAUUGGAUUCAUCGAUUAUGGUUUGAAGAAUAAGCCAAAGAUCAUACGGAAAAUCUUUGGGAACUUAGCCAAGAAUUUUGGAGUAUAUAAAAGACCAUGGAGUUUCAAAGCUCCGAGGAGAUGUUAGAGUAUGACGUGAAUGUUAAAGAAGCUAUUAUUGCUGAAGAAGUUAACCAAGUCAUGCAGACUGUUUAUUUUCCAACCGGUGCAGAUUAAAGAAUGGUCGUGAUUGUCAAAGUGUGGGAAAUCCUGGAAUGUUUACAUCAUUCGCGCUUUGGUGGUUCUUGUGAAGAGUUAGGAUUUUAGGUUACCUUUCCUCAUGAAGUUACCCGAUCUAUGUUACCUAUAUCUAGGAUAACACUUGUUGAACUUGUUCGCUUUUCCUUACCGUUAGUCCACAUCCAAGUGUUAGGCUAUUUGGGUAGAGCCUACACUUUAUAGUUGCCUGGACCGUCAAAACCCCUGAAAGGUACAACCACGUGUUUGCUUCUUAUCCCAUUGUGUGUUGUGUGCAUUUUAAAAAUUUUAUGAAUGAUUGAAAUUAAAAAAAAAAAGUGAAUUGUGAUCAAGGUUUCGUAAGAGACCUUGCCUAUGGAUGGAAUUUUCCGUCCAUAUUGUGUUUGAUUCGAGAACCACACGUAGUUGUAGUUCCUGAGUAGUGUCAUAGUUGUAAGUAGGAUUCACUUUAUUGAAUUCAAGUACCCGUUCUUAUUCUUGGAAGUACUGGCUGCCAGUUAAAAUUUGUGGUAUGACUUUCCCCAUUCCAUAGUACUUCCGUUAGAGUGCUAUGUUUCUAUCUAGAAUGAGAUUGGCUAUCUAGUUACCGAGCUCAAUUAGGAUAUUGAGGAAAGAAUUUUUUUGGAAGAAGACUAGUCGCCAAUGGCCUACAAUGGUACUCUACCAAGUGGUUGAGCAUCGCUCAUAUCAGUCUGGCAAGUUGAAAACCUUUUGGGAAAAAGGUGAAGAAGUGUACUCUAGUAACUUGAUUGUUUAAAAAGUAAAAGAUGAAAAGGUGCAGAGUAGAAGACAGACUGAUAAUCAAGAAAGAUGAAGAUGUGGUUAAGGCAUUGAAAGGAUGGUUGACAUCUAAAAGUAACAUGUUCAGUAUUCUUGUUGAACCUGGAUUCGCUGCAAUAGACUAGGGAUCUCACCAAGUGGUUCUUGCCGAGUUCUAGUAGUAGUUAGAAGAAUACGAAGAGGGUCUCAGAUAGAUCAGAAGUGUAAAGAAUACAGUACGUGAAAUCGUUCUUGGAAUGGGUGAGUGUGCGUAUUUGAGAGUAGCAUCCCUGGUCCGAAUCAUGUUGGUGUGAUUGAUCGUGCAUGUUCUUGUUUGAUUGUUGCACAGUUAAACAAGUUAACAUUCACCAGACUGGAGAUGUUACUUUCACGUAUGGCAUAUCACCUAAAGUUCCAAAUUUCAUGUUGCUGUUAUGGGAGAAAGCCAGAUAGAAAAUGUUGAGAUGUGAUAGUCUACAAAGACAAGAUUGUUAGUAAAAGUAUGCAGACCGCAUAUCACAAGAGUGUGCAGAGUAAAGAAUUUGGUUAUCGACCAUGAGUUGUUUUGAUAUGGGCAGAUUAAGAUAAGGUCAGAGCUAAUAUCUAGAACUCUUUUAGAGACUGUUCAGUAAAGAGUGUACAGCUACGUUUUCAAAAUUCGGGGACAAAUUCUUUUAAGGGGGGGGGGGGGGGGGGAGAAUGUAAUAACCCUCACGAGCAGAUAGAAUUUUGGUCAAGAAAAUGAUUUAAGAUCAGUUUGAAGAUUGAACGAUCGGAAUUUAAAUAAAAAUCGACACGGUGAAUUAGUCUCUCGACAGGGUUGUCUUUUGGUCGAAAAACCAUCUCUUGAUUGUUCUGGUCGAGUGUUAAUUAUUAUUGUCGAUUUUUAUUCAGGCUGGGCGAGUUUAUUCAGAGCAGGACGAGAUUCGAAUGAUGAAAAAUAUUUAGAACAGUUCGAAAAAUAUCGACAAAACUCUUAAAAUUAUUUCUGAACAAUCACAUGCCUUUCACCUUCUAGCCUACUUGCUUCCUCAGUAAUUAGGUCACAUGAGAUGAACCUACUUGCUUACCUGCUUGCUCAUUAGAAGUCACAUGCUGGUCAAAAGCUGUUUGCUUGAGCUGCUUGUAUCUUUCUUCAUGGAAGGGAAAUGUUCAGCUGCUUGUGCUGCUUGGUGUGCUGAAGCAUGUCACCAGCUGUCUAACCUCAUCUUUGUCUUUUGUGGGAGAAAACCCUCAUCUGAA